GAGAAUGUUAUCACGGGAGACACACGGCGGGUGCUAACGUCCGUCGUGAAGAGGGAAACAACCCAGACCGCCAGCUAAGGUCCCAAAGUCAUGGUUAAGUGGGAAACGAUGUGGGAAGGCCCAGACAGCCAGGAUGUUGGCUUAGAAGCAGCCAUCAUUUAAAGAAAGCGUAAUAGCUCACUGGUCGAGUCGGCCUGCGCGGAAGAUGUAACGGGGCUAAACCAUGCACCGAAGCUGCGGCAGCGACGCUGAUGCGUUGUUGGGUAGGGGAGCGUUCUGUAAGCCUGUGAAGGUGUGCUGUGAGGCAUGCUGGAGGUAUCAGAAGUGCGAAUGCUGACAUAAGUAACGAUAAAGCGGGUGAAAAGCCCGCUCGCCGGAAGACCAAGGGUUCCUGUCCAACGUUAAUCGGGGCAGGGUGAGUCGACCCCUAAGGCGAGGCCGAAAGGCGUAGUCGAUGGGAAACAGGUUAAUAUUCCUGUACUUGGUGUUACUGCGAAGGGGGGACGGAGAAGGCUAUGUUGGCCGGGCGACGGUUGUCCCGGUUUAAGCGUGUAGGCUGGUUUUCCAGGCAAAUCCGGAAAACUAAGGCUGAGGCGUGAUGACGAGGCACUACGGUGCUGAAGCAACAAAUGCCCUGCUUCCAGGAAAAGCCUCUAAGCAUCAGGUAACAUCAAAUCGUACCCCAAACCGACACAGGUGGUCAGGUAGAGAAUACCAAGGCGCUUGAGAGAACUCGGGUGAAGGAACUAGGCAAAAUGGUGCCGUAACUUCGGGAGAAGGCACGCUGAUAUGUAGGUGAAGUCCCUCGCGGAUGGAGCUGAAAUCAGUCGAAGAUACCAGCUGGCUGCAACUGUUUAUUAAAAACACAGCACUGUGCAAACACGAAAGUGGACGUAUACGGUGUGACGCCUGCCCGGUGCCGGAAGGUUAAUUGAUGGGGUCAGCGCAAGCGAAGCUCUUGAUCGAAGCCCCGGUAAACGGCGGCCGUAACUAUAACGGUCCUAAGGUAGCGAAAUUCCUUGUCGGGUAAGUUCCGACCUGCACGAAUGGCGUAAUGAUGGCCAGGCUGUCUCCACCCGAGACUCAGUGAAAUUGAACUCGCUGUGAAGAUGCAGUGUACCCGCGGCAAGACGGAAAGACCCCGUGAACCUUUACUAUAGCUUGACACUGAACAUUGAGCCUUGAUGUGUAGGAUAGGUGGGAGGCUUUGAAGUGUGGACGCCAGUCUGCAUGGAGCCGACCUUGAAAUACCACCCUUUAAUGUUUGAUGUUCUAACGUUGACCCGUAAUCCGGGUUGCGGACAGUGUCUGGUGGGUAGUUUGACUGGGGCGGUCUCCUCCUAAAGAGUAACGGAGGAGCACGAAGGUUGGCUAAUCCUGGUCGGACAUCAGGAGGUUAGUGCAAUGGCAUAAGCCAGCUUGACUGCGAGCGUGACGGCGCGAGCAGGUGCGAAAGCAGGUCAUAGUGAUCCGGUGGUUCUGAAUGGAAGGGCCAUCGCUCAACGGAUAAAAGGUACUCCGGGGAUAACAGGCUGAUACCGCCCAAGAGUUCAUAUCGACGGCGGUGUUUGGCACCUCGAUGUCGGCUCAUCACAUCCUGGGGCUGAAGUAGGUCCCAAGGGUAUGGCUGUUCGCCAUUUAAAGUGGUACGCGAGCUGGGUUUAGAACGUCGUGAGACAGUUCGGUCCCUAUCUGCCGUGGGCGCUGGAGAACUGAGGGGGGCUGCUCCUAGUACGAGAGGACCGGAGUGGACGCAUCACUGGUGUUCGGGUUGUCAUGCCAAUGGCACUGCCCGGUAGCUAAAUGCGGAAGAGAUAAGUGCUGAAAGCAUCUAAGCACGAAACUUGCCCCGAGAUGAGUUCUCCCUGACUCCUUGAGAGUCCUGAAGGAACGUUGAAG
Molecule: ribosomal RNA, 1899 nt
Filed under: Escherichia coli
Lineage: Bacteria; Pseudomonadati; Pseudomonadota; Gammaproteobacteria; Enterobacterales; Enterobacteriaceae
Description: partial 23S ribosomal RNA
Rfam family: Bacterial large subunit ribosomal RNA
Source: RNAcentral